Molecule: non-coding RNA, 26 nt
Filed under: Macaca fascicularis (crab-eating macaque)
Lineage: Eukaryota; Metazoa; Chordata; Mammalia; Primates; Cercopithecidae
Also listed under: 1 other name
Source: RNAcentral
UGGAAAGUCAAUACUGAUGGGGAAGC